RNAcentral lists this ribosomal RNA (497 nucleotides) under uncultured bacterium. RNAcentral's name for it is "partial 16S ribosomal RNA". It matches the Rfam family "Bacterial small subunit ribosomal RNA", at positions 28 to 507 of the family's 1533-position model. The record is from RNAcentral.
GAUGAACGCUGGCGGCGUGCCUAAUACAUGCAAGUCGAGCGAACAGACGAGGAGCUUGCUCCUCUGACGUUAGCGGCGGACGGGUGAGUAACACGUGGAUAACCUACCUAUAAGACUGGGAUAACUUCGGGAAACCGGAGCUAAUACCGGAUAAUAUAUUGAACCGCAUGGUUCAAUAGUGAAAGACGGUUUUGCUGUCACUUAUAGAUGGAUCCGCGCCGCAUUAGCUAGUUGGUAAGGUAACGGCUUACCAAGGCGACGAUGCGUAGCCGACCUGAGAGGGUGAUCGGCCACACUGGAACUGAGACACGGUCCAGACUCCUACGGGAGGCAGCAGUAGGGAAUCUUCCGCAAUGGGCGAAAGCUUGACGGAGCAACGCCGCGUGAGUGAUGAAGGUCUUCGGAUCGUAAAACUCUGUUAUUAGGGAAGAACAAAUGUGUAAGUAACUAUGCACAUCUUGACGGUACCUAAUCAGAAAGCCACGGCUAACUACGUG